UAUAGGCUUUGGGUUUACGGUUUACGGUUUAGAUUUAGGGUUUAGGAUUUACGGUUUGGGUUUAGGAUUUGGGUUUAGGGUUUAGGGUUUAGAGUUUGAUUUUAGAAUUUAGGGUUUAGAUUUAAGGUUUAGGGUUUAGUUAGUGGCAUAAGCAUCAUUAAAAUUGGCGUUAUUUUUUUUCAAUUAUUUCAGAUUUUUUUAAAAUAAAGUUAAUCUAUUUUAUUAUUAAUUUAGAUAACAAGAGGAGAGGUAAAUCUAAAGGUUCACCCUAGGGGUGAACCUAAAUCUUGUUCCUAUUGAUAUAUGUUUAGUCCAACUAAUUAUUUUCAACAAUCUAUACUUAAAAAAAUACUAAGUGCAUCUAAUUAUAUAUUGUGGAUGUAACCACCACUUGAGCAUAAUAAUCGGGAUCCAGUUUUUCUAUUUACAUCUAAAUAU
RNAcentral lists this long non-coding RNA (438 nucleotides) under Brassica napus (rape). RNAcentral's name for it is "long non-coding RNA (BNAP_LNC021902)". Lineage: Eukaryota; Viridiplantae; Streptophyta; Magnoliopsida; Brassicales; Brassicaceae. The record is from RNAcentral.